CCGGCCGGCGCGAAUGUCGCAACAACUGCCUUCAAGCACAGCGCAAACUUCGCGUCUAGUGACGGAUAAAAAGAACACCAUGUAUUGUGAUUUUACACCGUUUUAAAUUGGACCAAUUUUUUACACGAGAUACAAGAUACUCAGAACCCAUUGACAUCCGUAAAAUGUCUUGAAGUUGGGAACAAAUACCACCGAAGGCGUAUGUGAUGUCUUGGCGUGAUGCAACUUGUAAUGGUCAACUUUCUCAUCAUGUUUGACGUAGUAUUCAUAUUCUUCCUGUUCCUCAUCGCCGUGACGUGUGUUAUGAACUAUAUGCCUGGGAAGAAGCGGCAGGAGGUGACUGAGGAAGACGUGGAAAGUGACGUCAUACCUCCGCCGCCGCUGUUCGCUGGCGACGAAGCGAGCGCGAGCCGGGAUACCUAUGUGGUUAUAUCGCCCCCGAUUGACACAGAUAGGACCAAAGACGGGUGUCCUAUACACGUGGUGUAGUAUAAGUGAAAUGUAAACGUAGGAGUUUAUUAUGAAGAAGCCUUAUAAGAUGGUAGGUAACGUCAAAAUAAAGGCGUUUUUUACAGUUUAGAUGUCUAUAAUAUUGUUUUUAAGACUAACAGUUGAAAAUUGGGACUCAAGUGAUGAAAUCUUUGGAAAGACUUGGUACAUUCGGAUAUCGAUGGACGCAAUAGAAGUAAAAUGAAAAUAUAUAAACUGUUGUAGAUCGUAAAAUAAUUAGGCACAUUGUAUUUACUACUUAGUUAAAUAUUGAAUAUCUUAAUAUAGAAAGAACAUCACAGGAAAUAUGUUUGUCUACUCGAAUGCAUUUACUCAGAAAUUAAUACUUAGUCUUUAUUUCACAGUCUAUUUGUUAAAUAAAUUAUUUGAAGUGUUCAAUGUCGGCACAUAAUAUUGCUAUAAAUGUGACUGAAUAAUAGAAAUAGAUUAAUGUAAUGAAUUUGCAAGUUUAGCUACUAAGCCUACGGUUUCGUGCCUAAUAUUAAUGUUUUGCUCUUAAUUUAUAGGUAUUAGCAAAAACGUGUAAUUUAUAGGUAUGCCAUUAUUGUACCCACUCUUAAUUUCUUGUCAAUUUUAAUUUGACUUCGCACUUUUAUGAAUGUGCUUUUUUUUCACAGAUUAUAGAGUCUUGUUUUUUUUUAAUGUACCAGCACUAAAUGUUUUGUAUUGAACAUGAAUAAUUUUAUAAAGCAUACCCAGCUUUCAAUAGAUAGAUAGUCGUUAGUAUAGGAAGUAAUAUAAUAAUGAAAAGACAAUACAAUAUACGAAAUAUUUCUCAUAUCAUGUACUUAUACAUAAAUAUUAAAUGUCGAAUCAAUUAAGAUUGAAAAAGUUAUUCAUGACACCAGUUAAGGAAAUUCAAUCGAGUUUAAAAAUAUUUCAUUAAGGAAAUAGCUAUCAUAUUACCUUAAAAUAUAAGAAACUAAGACACUUCACAAUAAUAAAAAAUAGUUUAUACGUUUUUUAGUCAUAUGUUUUAGAUAGAGUAGUUGUGCGAAAUAAUUAUAGCAUCAAAAGUAACAAAUUGAAAAUCAAACAUAAUCUAUGUGAUAUAUACACAAUUUUUAAUAAGUAGCUAUUGUAAUUAAAUCGUUUUCAAUUGAUUGUUAUACGAAUGAAAUCAGUGUUGUAAGCUUUGACAUUAGCCGAGAUUUGGCCGGAAUUCGGAAUUAAACCAACAAGGAUUGAAAUGGGUUCAAAAGGAGUAUACAUUACCCUACUUUAGGAAAAUGGAGCAUUUCUUUUUUACAGUAUUUUAUUUAUACUGUUAAUAGUAAUAUAAUAGACCUUUAAAGAUUCACAAUUUUAUUGCUUUGCUUUUCUAUAGAGUUCUUACAAAGCUUUAGCACGAAAAUAUUGUUCUCUGAGACGGAUAAAAAAUGUGAAAAUAAUUUUAUAAAAUGUACGCCAUGUCACGGCUGGUGUUGAGCGAUGUAAUAAUAAUUAUUGUAAUUAAAUAAAAUGCACUACACGCAGUGUUGUCAUA
Long non-coding RNA from Colias croceus (clouded yellow), 1996 nucleotides. RefSeq lists it as uncharacterized. NCBI's taxonomy places the organism in Eukaryota, Metazoa, Arthropoda, Insecta, Lepidoptera, Pieridae. The record is from RefSeq and is a predicted model, not a curated record. The transcript has 3 exons.